GCUAAACGGAAUCUUGGUCGGUGGAAGGACGCCCCGGGGUGAUGGUUGGCAGCCUGCAGACUCGGGUGCUACAGAGGAUAAACUUGACCUGCGAGGUGGAACAGCCGGGUUUGUGAAUCUGAAGAAAGUAAUGGACUGUGCCUAUUUGUACCCACCCAGCUGGCGCGCGAAGGAUCUAUUAAGGGGUCUCAGUUUCGCGUUCUGGGAGCAGAAUCAGGUUGAGCUUUGCGGAGGGGUCUCCAACCCCCGGGGCCACACAGCAGGAGAUGAGCGGUGGGCAAGCGAGCGAAGCUUCAUUGGCCGUUCCCCAUCGCUCGCAUUACCGCCUGAACCACACCCCCCUUCCGUGGAAAAAUUGUCUUCCAGGAAACCGGUUCCUCGUGCCAAAAAGGUUGGGGACCGCUGCUCUAAAUCACCUCCUCCUCUCACUGUCUCCACGGUUCUUUGUAAUGACCAAGAUCUAAAUAAAAUUUAAGGUCUUAGCUGCGGCGUGCGGGAUCUUCACUGUGGCAUGCGGGAUCUUUUUAAGUUGCGGCAUGCAGGCUCUUAGUUGCAGCAUGCAGGAUCUAGUUCCCUGACCAGGGAUCGAACCCGGCCCUCCUGCAUUGGGAGCGCGGAGUCUUAACCGCUGGACCACCAGGGAAGUCGCUUCCUUGAACUUUUAAUUAUUUUUAUUUUAUAGGUAUAAAAGUAGAUGAUUAAAAAACAUUUUCUUUUUCAUUUCCUUACUGAACUCUUAUUAUUACUAAUGUGUUUAAAUUGAUUCUUGUAGGUUUUCCAGGUAAGCAGUCAGCUGCAGUUAAUUUUAACUCAGAGAAAAGAAUAGGGACUUUGGAUUUCGGCAGACCUAGGUUUUUCUCCAUAUUCUGCCACUUACUAUGUGAACUUGGGCAUUUCUCAACCUGUGAUUCUUUUCCUAUUUGUUUAAAAAAAAAAAUCAGUACUAACUACUCAUAUAGUUAGAGUACCUAGCACAUAGUAAGUACCCAAGACACGUUUUAGCAAGCAGUAUUCCAGUAUAUAUAUACCAUUUCUCUGGAUUUUAGGCUUUUAAAUUUUUCUUUUUUUAAAAAAAUUUCUUUAUAUAAUGGUCCUUCUCUAAACGUAGAUCUAGUUUUGAAUAGUUUUAGCACAAUUACAUAAUUUA
This is a long non-coding RNA of Balaenoptera acutorostrata (minke whale), 1147 nucleotides long. RefSeq lists it as uncharacterized. Lineage: Eukaryota; Metazoa; Chordata; Mammalia; Artiodactyla; Balaenopteridae. The record is from RefSeq and is a predicted model, not a curated record. The transcript has 3 exons.